RNAcentral lists this ribosomal RNA (397 nucleotides) under uncultured bacterium. RNAcentral describes it as "bacterial SSU rRNA". It matches the Rfam family "Bacterial small subunit ribosomal RNA", at positions 30 to 422 of the family's 1533-position model. The record is from RNAcentral.
AUUGAACGCUGGCGGCAUGCCUUACACAUGCAAGUCGAACGGCAGCACGGGAGCUUGCUCCUGGUGGCGAGUGGCGAACGGGUGAGUAAUACAUCGGAACGUACCCUGAAGUGGGGGAUAACGUAGCGAAAGUUACGCUAAUACCGCAUAUUCUGUGAGCAGGAAAGAGGGGGAUCGCAAGACCUCUUGCUUUAGGAGCGGCCGAUGUCGGAUUAGCUAGUUGGUGAGGUAAAGGCUCACCAAGGCGACGAUCCGUAGCGGGUCUGAGAGGAUGAUCCGCCACACUGGGACUGAGACACGGCCCAGACUCCUACGGAGGCAGCAGUGGGGAAUUUUGGACAAUGGGACGCAAGCCUGAUCCAGCCAUGCCGCGUGAGUGAAGAAGGCUCGGUGUAAG